This is a small nuclear RNA of Fukomys damarensis (Damara mole-rat), 107 nucleotides long. The record is from Ensembl. Lineage: Eukaryota; Metazoa; Chordata; Mammalia; Rodentia; Bathyergidae.
GUGCUCACUUCGGCAGCACAGAUACUAAAACUGGAACGAAACAGAGAAGAUUAGCAUGGCCCCUGCACAAGGAUGGCACACAAAUUCAUGAAGCAUUCCACAUUUUA